RNAcentral lists this ribosomal RNA (386 nucleotides) under uncultured bacterium. RNAcentral describes it as "bacterial SSU rRNA". It matches the Rfam family "Bacterial small subunit ribosomal RNA", at positions 354 to 737 of the family's 1533-position model. The record is from RNAcentral.
GUGAGGAAUAUUGGUCAAUGGGCGCGAGCCUGAACCAGCCAAGUCGCGUGAAGGAUGACUGUCUUAUGGAUUGUAAACUUCUUUUAUACGGGAAUAACAAGAGUCACGUGUGACUCCCUGCAUGUACCGUAUGAAUAAGCAUCGGCUAACUCCGUGCCAGCAGCCGCGGUAAUACGGAGGAUGCGAGCGUUAUCCGGAUUUAUUGGGUUUAAAGGGUGCGUAGGCGGUUUGUUAAGUCAGCGGUGAAAUCUAGAGGCUCAACCUCGAAACUGCCGUUGAAACUGGCGAACUUGAGUGUAGAUGAGGUAGGCGGAAUUCGUGGUGUAGCGGUGAAAUGCAUAGAUAUCACGAGGAACUCCGAUUGCGAAGGCAGCUUACUAAGGUAC